AGGCAUUCUGAAGACCUGCUGUCUAGGCUACAAGCUGAGAACCUAGUUUCUCUCGAUUCAUUUCGCCUAGGGGAAAGUCCCCGGACCCGUGGCAGAGAGUGCCGUGCGCAAAGCGUACCUCCAGUCUGCGUGCUCAGAAUACAACCGGCUAAGAAGUCGAGCGUGACCGAGCCGCUGAGAACAGACGGGAAGCUGUCAAUUCCUGUAGUAACGCAGGUGAUGUAAUGAAAGUUACAUCAACUUAACGGGGCUCACUAGCAGAAUGUC
RNAcentral lists this RNase MRP RNA (267 nucleotides) under Erpetoichthys calabaricus (reedfish). Its description in RNAcentral is "RNase MRP (ENSECRG00000002728.1)". It matches the Rfam family "RNase MRP". From Rfam's summary of the family: RNase MRP is an enzymatically active ribonucleoprotein with two distinct roles in eukaryotes. In mitochondria it plays a direct role in the initiation of mitochondrial DNA replication. Lineage: Eukaryota; Metazoa; Chordata; Cladistia; Polypteriformes; Polypteridae. The record is from Rfam by way of RNAcentral.